AACCAUUCUCACCUGCGGCUAGACCUGCGGAAGGAUCAUUACCGAGUUUACAACUCCCAAACCCAUGUGAACAUACCUAUCGUUGCUUCGGCGGGAUCGCCCCGGGCGCCUCGUGUGCCCCGGAUCCGGCGCCCGCCUAGGAACCUUAACUCUUGUUUUAUUUUGGAAUCUUCUGAGUAGUUUUUACAAAUAAAUAAAAACUUUUAACAACGGAUCU
RNAcentral lists this unclassified non-coding RNA (217 nucleotides) under soil metagenome. RNAcentral describes it as "partial contains 5.8S ribosomal RNA, internal transcribed spacer 2, and large subunit ribosomal RNA". The record is from RNAcentral.